This 468-nucleotide ribosomal RNA is filed under the name uncultured bacterium. RNAcentral's name for it is "partial 16S ribosomal RNA". It matches the Rfam family "Bacterial small subunit ribosomal RNA", at positions 28 to 507 of the family's 1533-position model. The record is from RNAcentral.
GACGAACGCUGGCGGCGUGCUUAACACAUGCAAGUCGAACGGAAAGGCCCUGCUUUUGUGGGGUGCUCGAGUGGCGAACGGGUGAGUAACACGUGAGUAACCUGCCCUUUACUUUGGGAUAACUUCAGGAAACUGGGGCUAAUACCGGAUAGGAGCUCCUGCUGCAUGGUGGGGGUUGGACAGUUUCGGCGGUUGGGGAUGGACUCGCGGCUUAUCAGCUUGUUGGUGGGGUAGUGGCUUACCAAGGCUUUGACGGGUAGCCGGCCUGAGAGGGUGACCGGCCACAUUGGGACUGAGAGACGGCCCAGACUCCUACGGGAGGCAGCAGUGGAGAAUAUUGCACAAUGGGCGGAAGCCUGAUGCAGAAACGCCGCGUGCGGGAUGACGGCCUUCGGGUUGUAAACCGCUUUAGCCUGUGACGAAGCGUGAGUGACGGUAAUGGGUAAAGAAGCACCGGCUAACUACGUG